RNAcentral lists this ribosomal RNA (497 nucleotides) under uncultured bacterium. RNAcentral describes it as "partial 16S ribosomal RNA". It matches the Rfam family "Bacterial small subunit ribosomal RNA", at positions 28 to 507 of the family's 1533-position model. The record is from RNAcentral.
GAUGAACGCUGGCGGCGUGCCUAAUACAUGCAAGUCGAGCGAACGGACGAGAAGCUUGCUUCUCUGAUGUUAGCGGCGGACGGGUGAGUAACACGUGGUUAACCUACCUAUAAGACUGGGAUAACUUCGGGAAACCGGAGCUAAUACCGGAUAAUAUUUUGAACCGCAUGGUUCAAAAGUGAAAGCCGGUCUUGCUGUCACUUAUAGAUGGAUCCGCGCUGCAUUAGCUAGUUGGUAAGGUAACGGCUUACCAAGGCAACGAUGCAUAGCCGACCUGAGAGGGUGAUCGGCCACACUGGAACUGAGACACGGUCCAGACUCCUACGGGAGGCAUCAGUAGGGAAUCUUCCGCAAUGGGCGAAAGCCUGACGGAGCAACGCCGCGUGAGUGAUGAAGGUCUUCGGAUCGUAAAACUCUGUUAUUAGGGAAGAACAUAUGUGUAAGUAACUGUGCACAUCUUGACGGUACCUAAUCAGAAAGCCACGGCUAACUACGUG